RNAcentral lists this ribosomal RNA (421 nucleotides) under Fusobacteriota bacterium. Its description in RNAcentral is "Fusobacteria bacterium partial 16S ribosomal RNA". It matches the Rfam family "Bacterial small subunit ribosomal RNA", at positions 355 to 776 of the family's 1533-position model. The record is from RNAcentral. Lineage: Bacteria; Fusobacteriati; Fusobacteriota.
UGGGGAAUUUUGCACAAUGGGGGGAACCUUGAUGCAGCGACGCCGCGUGAGGGAUGGAGGCCUUCGGGUUGUGAACCUCUUUCGCUCGUGUGCAAGCCGCUAUUUGUGUAGUGGUGAGUGUAGCGGGUAAAGAAGCGCCGGCUAACUACGUGCCAGCAGCCGCGGUAAUACGUAGGGCGCGAGCGUUGUCCGGAUUUAUUGGGCGUAAAGUGCUUGUAGGCGGUUUGUCGCGCCUGUCGUGUAAUCCUCUGGCUUAACUGGGGGUGUGCGGUGGGUACGGGCAGGCUUGAGUGCGGUAGGGGAGAUUGGAAUUCCUGGUGUAGCGGUGGAAUGCGCAGAUAUCAGGAGGAACACCGAUGGCGAAGGCGGGUCUCUGGGCCGUUACUGACGCUGAGGAGCGAAAGCGUGGGGAGCGAACAGG